This 468-nucleotide ribosomal RNA is filed under the name uncultured bacterium. Its description in RNAcentral is "partial 16S ribosomal RNA". It matches the Rfam family "Bacterial small subunit ribosomal RNA", at positions 28 to 507 of the family's 1533-position model. The record is from RNAcentral.
GACGAACGCUGGCGGCGUGCUUAACACAUGCAAGUCGAACGGAAAGGCCCUGCUUUUGUGGGGUGCUCGAGUGGCGAACGGGUGAGUAACACGUGAGUAACCUGCCCUUGACUUUGGGAUAACUUCAGGAAACUGGGGCUAAUACCGGAUAGGAGCUCCUGCUGCAUGGUGGGGGUCGGAAAGUUUCGGCGGUUGGGGAUGGACUCGCGGCUUAUCAGCUUGUUGGUGGGGUAGUGGCUUACCAAGGCUUUGACGGGUAGCCGGCCUGGGAGGGUGACCGGCCACAUUGGGACUGAGAUACGGCCCAGACUCCUACGGGAGGCAGCAGUGGGGAAUAUUGCACAAUGGGCGGAAGCCUGAUGCAGCAACGCCGCGUGCGGGAUGACGGCCUUCGGGUUGUAAACCGCUUUCGCCUGUGACGAAGCGUGAGUGACGGUAAUGGGUAAAGAAGCACCGGCUAACUACGUG